GACACCCCGGGAAGGCGGCUCCCGUUGGUGCCUGUUCUGACCUGUGACAGAUUGUACGUCUAGUGGAAGUCACAAUGAAGUGAUGGGACGGAGGGAGGCUAAGGCUUAGGGAACACUGCUCUCCCCUCUGAGCUCUGUAAUUUUGUUAUAAAAGCUGACAUCUUCCCAGCCGCAAGCCAACGAAGAUGUCACGUAUCCCCGAACCCCAGCAGAUGGUAGCAGAAUAAAGUGGAGG
RNAcentral lists this long non-coding RNA (235 nucleotides) under Monodelphis domestica (gray short-tailed opossum). Its description in RNAcentral is "lncRNA (ENSMODG00000040707.1)". The record is from RNAcentral. Lineage: Eukaryota; Metazoa; Chordata; Mammalia; Didelphimorphia; Didelphidae.